UACGUAGGUGGCAAGCGUUAUCCGGAAUUAUUGGGCGUAAAGAGCGCGCAGGUGGUUGAUUAAGUCUGAUGUGAAAGCCCACGGCUCAACCGUGGAAGGUCAUUGGAAACUGGGGAACUUGAAUGCAGAAGAGGAGAGUGGAAUUCCAUGUGUAGCGGUGAAAUGCGUAGAUAUAUGGAGGAACACCAGUGGCGAAGGCGACUCUCUGGUCUGUUAUUGACGCUGAGGCUCGAAAGCGUGGGGAGCAAACAGGAUUAGA
RNAcentral lists this ribosomal RNA (259 nucleotides) under uncultured prokaryote. RNAcentral describes it as "partial 16S ribosomal RNA". It matches the Rfam family "Bacterial small subunit ribosomal RNA", at positions 524 to 782 of the family's 1533-position model. The record is from RNAcentral.